CUCCCGACUUUCUUAGAGGCAGCGAGAACAGAGCAGGAGAUAUAGAGUUUGCCGCCCUCUUUGAUGCUGUUUUAUACAUUCACCCCACCAAGCCUCGGAGAGAGCGUUCUGAGACAAGGUGUUCUCCAGUCUCAGCCCAACAACGUACUGAUCUUCAUUAACCCCCAGGAAAGACGCAGAGGACACAGGAAGAAAGGAGGAGAGAGGAAGAGAGGAGAGAGCAGGGCAGAUCGGGGGAGAGGGCCACAGAGCAAUCACAGACCUCAUUAUGAACACUGAAAGACCUGGCCAGAUGAGAUGGAGGGGAGAGAGAGAGCGAGAGCCACCCGAGGGACACUGAACACACACAGCCUGCAGGCUACAGCUCCACACCAGACAGAGCAUGGGCUGUUCACUACAUUGGCACUUUGUGAUGGCACCUCCGCACUGUUCGUCCAACCAGGAUGAAGAGCAGUGCUGCCAGCAGGAAGAAGAAGACGGAGAAGGGAGCAAACAGGAAGGAGGUGGUAGACUGUUGGACACUGAGAGGAGUGUUGUUGCUGGGCAGCGUAGUCCUCCAGAGUGUCCAGUACCUGGGUCCAGACUACAUACAUCAUUAUUACAACCAGGAGACAUAGACCUGGAGAGAGGAGAGGGAGAGGGGGAGGAAGAGGGAAACAUUUAAACUCAAUAAAAGUUAAUAGAACAUAAAUGCGUCUCCUGAUUAGUGGCAACUUGUCAUUCAGGGCAGGUGGGGUUGCCUGUUUGCAUGUUAUUUUGGCAUUAAUACAUGUCACAUAUCAGUUUGAAAACAAUGUAAAAAAUAUAUAUAUAAUAAUGUUAAUAAAGCCGCAUACAAGCUUG
Long non-coding RNA from Oncorhynchus tshawytscha (Chinook salmon), 843 nucleotides. The record is from Ensembl. Lineage: Eukaryota; Metazoa; Chordata; Actinopteri; Salmoniformes; Salmonidae.